ACGAACGCUGGCGGCGUGCCUAAUACAUGCAAGUCGAGCGGAAUGAUGAAGAAGCUUGCUUCUUCUGAUUUUUAGCGGCGGACGGGUGAGUAACACGUGGGCAACCUACCUUGUAGAUUGGGAUAACUCCGGGAAACCGGGGCUAAUACCGAAUAAUCCAUUUUGCUUCAUGGCGAGAUGUUAAAAGCGGCUUCGGCUGUCACUACGAGAUGGGCCCGCGGCGCAUUAGCUAGUUGGUAGGGUAAUGGCCUACCAAGGCGACGAUGCGUAGCCGACCUGAGAGGGUGAUCGGCCACACUGGGACUGAGACACGGCCCAGACUCCUACGGGAGGCAGCAGUAGGGAAUCUUCCACAAUGGACGAAAGUCUGAUGGAGCAACGCCGCGUGAGUGAAGAAGGUUUUCGGAUCGUAAAACUCUGUUGUAAGGGAAGAACACGUACGAGAGUAACUGCUCGUACCUUGACGGUACCUUAUUAGAAAGCCACGGCUAACUACGUG
This 499-nucleotide ribosomal RNA is filed under the name uncultured bacterium. RNAcentral describes it as "bacterial SSU rRNA". It matches the Rfam family "Bacterial small subunit ribosomal RNA", at positions 29 to 507 of the family's 1533-position model. The record is from RNAcentral.